RNAcentral lists this ribosomal RNA (1028 nucleotides) under uncultured marine bacterium. RNAcentral's name for it is "bacterial SSU rRNA". It matches the Rfam family "Bacterial small subunit ribosomal RNA", at positions 83 to 1143 of the family's 1533-position model. The record is from RNAcentral.
ACCUUCGGGUUAGUGGCGGACGGGUGAGUAACGCGUGGGAAUCUGCCCUCAGGAGGGGGAUAACGGUUGGAAACGGCCGCUAAUACCCCAUAUGCCGAGAGGUGAAAUGAAUUUCGCCUGAGGAUGAGCCCGCGUCUGAUUAGCUAGUUGGUGAGGUAAGAGCUCACCAAGGCAUCGAUCAGUAGCUGGUCUGAGAGGAUGAUCAGCCACACUGGGACUGAGACACGGCCCAGACUCCUACGGGAGGCAGCAGUGGGGAAUUUUCCGCAAUGGGCGAAAGCCUGACGGAGCAACGCCGCGUGAGGGAUGAAGGCCUCUGGGCUGUAAACCUCUUUUAUCAAGGAAGAAGAUCCGACGGUACUUGAUGAAUAAGCCACGGCUAAUUCCGUGCCAGCAGCCGCGGUAAUACGGGAGUGGCAAGCGUUAUCCGGAAUUAUUGGGCGUAAAGCGUCCGCAGGCGGCCCAACAAGUCUGCUGUUAAAAAGUGGAGCUUAACUCCAUCAUGGCAGUGGAAACUGUUGGGCUCGAGUGUGGUAGGGGCAGAGGGAAUUCCCGGUGUAGCGGUGAAAUGCGUAGAUAUCGGGAAGAACACCAGUGGCGAAGGCGCUCUGCUGGGCCAUCACUGACGCUCAUGGACGAAAGCCAGGGGAGCGAAAGGGAUUAGAUACCCCUGUAGUCCUGGCCGUAAACGAUGAACACUAGGUGUCGGGGGAAUCGACCCCUCCGGUGUCGUAGCCAACGCGUUAAGUGUUCCGCCUGGGGAGUACGCACGCAAGUGUGAAACUCAAAGGAAUUGACGGGGGCCCGCACAAGCGGUGGAGUAUGUGGUUUAAUUCGAUGCAACGCGAAGAACCUUACCAGGGUUUGACAUCCUGCGAAUCUCUUGGAAACUUGAGAGUGCCUUCGGGAGCGCAGUGACAGGUGGUGCAUGGCUGUCGUCAGCUCGUGUCGUGAGAAUGUUUGGGUUAAGUCCCGCAACGAGCGCAACCCACGUCUUUAGUUGCCAGCAAUUUAGUUGGGCACUCUAG